RNAcentral lists this ribosomal RNA (392 nucleotides) under uncultured bacterium. RNAcentral describes it as "partial 16S ribosomal RNA". It matches the Rfam family "Bacterial small subunit ribosomal RNA", at positions 523 to 918 of the family's 1533-position model. The record is from RNAcentral.
AUACGGAGGAUCCGAGCGUUAUCCGGAUUUAUUGGGUUUAAAGGGUGCGCAGGCGGCCAUUUAAGUCAGCGGUUAAAUCGUGGGGCUCAACCCCAUUCUGCCGUUGAUACUGGGUGGCUUGAUUGCGGUCGAGGUUGGCGGAAUUCGUUGUGUAGCGGUGAAAUGCAUAGAUAUGACGAAGAACACCGAUUGCGUAGGCAGCUGACCAGACCGCAAGUGACGCUCAUGCACGAAAGUGCGGGGAUCGAACAGGAUUAGAUACCCUGGUAGUCCGCACAGUAAACGAUGAAUACUUGUUUUCGGCGAUAUAAUGUCGGAGGCAAAGCGAAAGCGAUAAGUAUUCCACCUGGGGAGUACGCCGGCAACGGUGAAACUCAAAUGAAUUGACGGGG